CGGACGGGUGAGUAAUGCUUGGGAAUCUGUCUUAUGGAGGGGGAUAACGACGGGAAACUGUCGCUAAUACCGCGUAGAAUCGGGAGAUGAAAGUGUGGGACCUUCGGGCCACAUGCCAUAGGAUGAGCCCAAGUGUGAUUAGGUAGUUGGUGGGGUAAAGGCCUACCAAGCCGACGAUCGCUAGCUGGUCUGAGAGGAUGGCCAGCCACACCGGGACUGAGACACGGCCCGGACUCCUACGGGAGGCAGCAGUGGGGAAUAUUGCGCAAUGGGGGCAACCCUGACGCAGCCAUGCCGCGUGAAUGAAGAAGGCCUUCGGGUUGUAAAGUUCUUUCGGUGAUGAGGAAGGUUGGUGUGUUAAUAGCAUGCCAAAUUGACGUUAAAUACAGAAGAAGCACCGGCUAACUCCGUGCCAGCAGCCGCGGUAAUACGGGGGGUGCGAGCGUUAAUCGGAAUAACUGGGCGUAAAGGGCACGUAGGCGGACCUUUAAGUGAGGUGUGAAAUCCCCGGGCUUAACCUGGGAAUUGCAUUUCAUACUGGGGGUCUGGAGUACUUUAGGGAGGGGUAGAAUUCCACGUGUAGCGGUGAAAUGCGUAGAGAUGUGGAGGAAUACCGAAGGCGAAGGCAGCCCCUUGGGGAUGUACUGACGCUGAUGUGCGAAAGCGUGGGGAGCAAACAGGAUUAGAUACCCUGGUAGUCCACGCUGUAAACGGUGUCGAUUUGGGGAUUGGGGUUUAGCCCUGGUGCCCGAAGCUAACGUGAUAAAUCGACCGCCUGGGGAGUACGGCCGCAAGGUUAAAACUCAAAUGAAUUGACGGGGGCCCGCACAAGCGGUGGAGCAUGUGGUUUAAUUCGAUGCAACGCGAAGAACCUUACCUACUCUUGACAUCCGAAGAAGAACUCAGAGAUGGGUUUGUGCCUUAGGGAGCUUUGAGACAGGUGCUGCAUGGCUGUCGUCAGCUCGUGUUGUGAAAUGUUGGGUUAAGUCCCGCAACGAGCGCAACCCUUAUCCUUUGUUGCCAGCGACUUGGUCGGGAACUCAAAGGAGACUGCCGGUGAUAAACCGGAGGAAGGUGGGGAUGACGUCAAGUCAUCAUGGCCCUUACGAGUAGGGCUACACACGUGCUACAAUGGCGUAUACAGAGGGUAACCAACCAGCGAUGGGGAGUGAAUCUCAGAAAGUACGU
Molecule: ribosomal RNA, 1188 nt
Filed under: Aggregatibacter actinomycetemcomitans
Lineage: Bacteria; Pseudomonadati; Pseudomonadota; Gammaproteobacteria; Pasteurellales; Pasteurellaceae
Description: bacterial SSU rRNA
Rfam family: Bacterial small subunit ribosomal RNA
Source: RNAcentral